Molecule: ribosomal RNA, 909 nt
Filed under: Penicillium pulvillorum
Lineage: Eukaryota; Fungi; Ascomycota; Eurotiomycetes; Eurotiales; Aspergillaceae
Description: LSU rRNA
Rfam family: Eukaryotic large subunit ribosomal RNA
Source: RNAcentral
GCAUAUCAAUAAGCGGAGGAAAAGAAACCAACAGGGAUUGCCUCAGUAACGGCGAGUGAAGCGGCAAGAGCUCAAAUUUGAAAGCUGGCCCCCUCGGGGUCCGCAUUGUAAUUUGCAGAGGAUGCUUCGGGAGUGGCCCCCAUCUAAGUGCCCUGGAACGGGCCGUCAUAGAGGGUGAGAAUCCCGUCUGGGAUGGGGUGCCCACGCCCGUGUGAAGCUCCUUCGACGAGUCGAGUUGUUUGGGAAUGCAGCUCUAAAUGGGUGGUAAAUUUCAUCUAAAGCUAAAUACUGGCCGGAGACCGAUAGCGCACAAGUAGAGUGAUCGAAAGAUGAAAAGCACUUUGAAAAGAGAGUUAAACAGCACGUGAAAUUGUUGAAAGGGAAGCGCUUGCGACCAGACUCGCCCACGGGGUUCAGCCGGCAUUCGUGCCGGUGUACUUCCCCGCGGGCGGGCCAGCGUCGGUUUGGGCGGCCGGUCAAAGGCCCUCGGAAUGUAACGCCCCCCGGGGCGUCUUAUAGCCGAGGGUGCCAUGCGGCCAGCCCGGACCGAGGAACGCGCUUCGGCUCGGACGCUGGCAUAAUGGUCGUAAGCGACCCGUCUUGAAACACGGACCAAGGAGUCUAACAUCUACGCGAGUGUUCGGGUGUCAAACCCGUGCGCGCAGUGAAAGCGAACGGAGGUGGGAACCCCUCGGGGCGCACCAUCGACCGAUCCUGAUGUCUUCGGAUGGAUUUGAGUAAGAGCGUAGCUGUUGGGACCCGAAAGAUGGUGAACUAUGCCUGAAUAGGGCGAAGCCAGAGGAAACUCUGGUGGAGGCUCGCAGCGGUUCUGACGUGCAAAUCGAUCGUCAAAUUUGGGUAUAGGGGCGAAAGACUAAUCGAACCAUCUAGUAGCUGGUUCCUGCCGAA